RNAcentral lists this long non-coding RNA (832 nucleotides) under Carica papaya (papaya). Its description in RNAcentral is "long non-coding RNA (CPAP_LNC006376)". Lineage: Eukaryota; Viridiplantae; Streptophyta; Magnoliopsida; Brassicales; Caricaceae. The record is from RNAcentral.
AAGUAAAGGUGGGUAGAAAACACAAAAGGACCAAUAAAGCAUAGUUUACAACAAAUUCUUUUAUCAAUAAUAAAAUCCUUUACUAUCCACUUAUCUCGGUGAAAUUCAUAAAACAAUAUACGAAAGCAAUAACAUUAUCAUCAUCACGAAAUCAUAGAAACUGUAUAACAUAAUACUUAUCACGCCUUUUGCAUCUCAAUCAUUACACAACAUAUUUUUCCUUAUUUACCAGCCUACUAGUAUCCAUGGGGAUCCAUAGGGGUCCUGCUACCCGUGAACCCUUAACACUUGUAAUCAGAUUCCAGGGCCGUCCCCAUACCCCGUCCGGUAUGGGCGCCAAAACACAUAAGGUCUCUAUAUCCCGUCCGGUAUGAGAGACCACAAUCCCGGUAGGGUUCCCUACAGACCCGGUCCGUCCACCAUCUCCCAGGAUAUCUAGUCAGGCUGACCACAUUAUACAAUUAUCAAUUUACAUAACCUUUCAUUCCCCUUUUCCUAGGUCAGCAUCAUCAAUUCACACACAAACAAGCAAACCAGUAAUUUAUGCCAAACAAGACAACAUACAACAUCGGGUUCUCAGUCAUUCAACCCAUAAUCAAUAAAACAGUGAUAUAUGCACACGAAACAAUGAAAUGAAAACAUCAGACCCCAUACUGCAUUUAAAACUGUAAAAUAGGCCAAACAACAGCUGACCGACAAACACACCAGACUCGGGCUCCAUUAGCGACCUUAAAUAAUUUCACACAUCUAUUGAUUCAUGAAAUACCGUUUUAUCAUUUAUUAAACUUUAAUACCGAGAUAAGAAAUAGGGUGAGGGGUCCUUACUUGUUUC